This 492-nucleotide ribosomal RNA is filed under the name uncultured bacterium. Its description in RNAcentral is "partial 16S ribosomal RNA". It matches the Rfam family "Bacterial small subunit ribosomal RNA", at positions 33 to 507 of the family's 1533-position model. The record is from RNAcentral.
ACGCUGGCGGCGUGCCUAAUACAUGCAAGUCGAGCGAACGGACGAGAAGCUUGCUUCUCUGAUGUUAGCGGCGGACGGGUGAGUAACACGUGGAUAACCUACCUAUAAGACUGGGAUAACUUCGGGAAACCGGAGCUAAUACCGGAUAAUAUUUUGAACCGCAUGGUUCAAACGUGAAAGACGGUCUUGCUGUCACUUAUAGAUGGAUCCGCGCUGCAUUAGCUAGUUGGUAAGGUAACGGCUUACCAAGGCAACGAUGCAUAGCCGACCUGAGAGGGUGAUCGGCCACACUGGAACUGAGACACGGUCCAGACUCCUACGGGAGGCAGCAGUAGGGAAUCUUCCGCAAUGGGCGAAAGCCUGACGGAGCAACGCCGCGUGAGUGAUGAAGGUCUUCGGAUCGUAAAACUCUGUUAUUAGGGAAGAACAUAUGUGUAAGUAACUGUGCACAUCUUGACGGUACCUAAUCAGAAAGCCACGGCUAACUACGUG